UUAAGCGACUAAGCGUACACGGUGGAUGCCCUGGCAGUCAGAGGCGAUGAAGGACGUGCUAAUCUGCGAAAAGCGUCGGUAAGGUGAUAUGAACCGUUACAACCGGCGAUGUCCGAAUGGGGAAACCCAGUGCAAUUCGUCACACUAUCGUUAACUGAAUACAUAGGUUAACGAGGCGAACCGGGGGAACUGAAACAUCUAAGUACCCCGAGGAAAAGAAAUCAACCGAGAUUCCCCCAGUAGCGGCGAGCGAACGGGGAGCAGCCCAGAGUCUGAAUCAGCUUGUGUGUUAGUGGAACGGUCUGGAAAGUCCGACGGUACAGGGUGAUAGUCCCGUACACCAAAAUGCACAGGCUGUGAACUCGAAGAGUAGGGCGGGACACGUGGUAUCCUGUCUGAAUAUGGGGGGACCAUCCUCCAAGGCUAAAUACUCCUGACUGACCGAUAGUGAACCAGUACCGUGAGGGAAAGGCGAAAAGAACCCCGGCGAGGGGAGUGAAAAAGAACCUGAAACCGUGUACGUACAAGCAGUGGGAGCACCUUCGGGUGUGACUGCGUACCUUUUGUAUAAUGGGUCAGCGACUUAUAUUCUGUAGCAAGGUUAACCGUAUAGGGGAGCCGCAGGGAAACCGAGUCUUAACUGGGCGUUAAGUUGCAGGGUAUAGACCCGAAACCCGGUGAUCUAGCCAUGGGCAGGUUGAAGGUUGGGUAACACUAACUGGAGGACCGAACCGACUAAUGUUGAAAAAUUAGCGGAUGACUUGUGGCUGGGGGUGAAAGGCCAAUCAAACCGGGAGAUAGCUGGUUCUCCCCGAAAGCUAUUUAGGUAGCGCCUCGUGAACUCAUCUUCGGGGGUAGAGCACUGUUUCGGCUAGGGGGUCAUCCCGACUUACCAACCCGAUGCAAACUACGAAUACCGAAGAAUGUUAUCACGGGAGACACACGGCGGGUGCUAACGUCCGUCGUGAAGAGGGAAACAACCCAGACCGCCAGCUAAGGUCCCAAAGUCAUGGUUAAGUGGGAAACGAUGUGGGAAGGCACAGACAGCCAGGAUGUUGGCUUAGAAGCAGCCAUCAUUUAAAGAAAGCGUAAUAGCUCACUGGUCGAGUCGGCCUGCGCGGAAGAUGUAACGGGGCUAAACCAUGCACCGAAGCUGCGGCAGCGACACUAUGUGUUGUUGGGUAGGGGAGCGUUCUGUAAGCCUGCGAAGGUGUGCUGUGAGGCAUGCUGGAGGUAUCAGAAGUGCGAAUGCUGACAUAAGUAACGAUAAAGCGGGUGAAAAGCCCGCUCGCCGGAAGACCAAGGGUUCCUGUCCAACGUUAAUCGGGGCAGGGUGAGUCGACCCCUAAGGCGAGGCCGAAAGGCGUAGUCGAUGGGAAACAGGUUAAUAUUCCUGUACUUGGUGUUACUGCGAAGGGGGGACGGAGAAGGCUAUGUUAGCCGGGCGACGGUUGUCCCGGUUUAAGCAUGUAGGCUGAUUAUCCAGGCAAAUCCGGAUAACCAAGGCUGAGGUGUGAUGACGAGGCACUACGGUGCUGAAGUAACAAAUGCCCUGCUUCCAGGAAAAGCCUCUAAGCAUCAGGUAACAUCAAAUCGUACCCCAAACCGACACAGGUGGUCAGGUAGAGAAUACCAAGGCGCUUGAGAGAACUCGGGUGAAGGAACUAGGCAAAAUGGUGCCGUAACUUCGGGAGAAGGCACGCUGGUGUGUAGGUGAAGUCCCUGCGGAUGGAGCUGAGACCAGUCGAAGAUACCAGCUGGCUGCAACUGUUUAUUAAAAACACAGCACUGUGCAAACACGAAAGUGGACGUAUACGGUGUGACGCCUGCCCGGUGCCGGAAGGUUAAUUGAUGGGGUUAUCCGUAAGGAGAAGCUCUUGAUCGAAGCCCCGGUAAACGGCGGCCGUAACUAUAACGGUCCUAAGGUAGCGAAAUUCCUUGUCGGGUAAGUUCCGACCUGCACGAAUGGCGUAAUGAUGGCCAGGCUGUCUCCACCCGAGACUCAGUGAAAUUGAACUCGCUGUGAAGAUGCAGUGUACCCGCGGCAAGACGGAAAGACCCCGUGAACCUUUACUAUAGCUUGACACUGAACAUUGAGCCUUGAUGUGUAGGAUAGGUGGGAGGCUUUGAAGCGUGGACGCCAGUCUGCGUGGAGCCAACCUUGAAAUACCACCCUUUAAUGUUUGAUGUUCUAACGUUGGCCCCU
This 2206-nucleotide ribosomal RNA is filed under the name Klebsiella pneumoniae. Its description in RNAcentral is "bacterial LSU rRNA". It matches the Rfam family "Bacterial large subunit ribosomal RNA", at positions 1 to 2236 of the family's 2925-position model. Lineage: Bacteria; Pseudomonadati; Pseudomonadota; Gammaproteobacteria; Enterobacterales; Enterobacteriaceae. The record is from RNAcentral.